Podarcis raffonei (Aeolian wall lizard) is the source of this 69-nucleotide non-coding RNA. The record is from the annotation of a RefSeq genome assembly. Lineage: Eukaryota; Metazoa; Chordata; Lepidosauria; Squamata; Lacertidae.
GCUGUGGCUCAGUGGCAGAGCACCUGCUUUGAAUGCAGAAGGUCCCAGGUUCAAUCCCUGGCAUCUCCA